Molecule: ribosomal RNA, 620 nt
Filed under: Nocardia farcinica
Lineage: Bacteria; Bacillati; Actinomycetota; Actinomycetes; Mycobacteriales; Nocardiaceae
Description: bacterial SSU rRNA
Rfam family: Bacterial small subunit ribosomal RNA
Source: RNAcentral
CAUGCAAGUCGAGCGGUAAGGCCCUUCGGGGUACACGAGCGGCGAACGGGUGAGUAACACGUGGGUGAUCUGCCCUGUACUUCGGGAUAAGCCUGGGAAACUGGGUCUAAUACCGGAUAUGACCUUACAUCGCAUGGUGUUUGGUGGAAAGAUUUAUCGGUACAGGAUGGGCCCGCGGCCUAUCAGCUUGUUGGUGGGGUAAUGGCCUACCAAGGCGACGACGGGUAGCCGGCCUGAGAGGGCGACCGGCCACACUGGGACUGAGACACGGCCCAGACUCCUACGGGAGGCAGCAGUGGGGAAUAUUGCACAAUGGGCGAAAGCCUGAUGCAGCGACGCCGCGUGAGGGAUGACGGCCUUCGGGUUGUAAACCUCUUUCGACAGGGACGAAGCGCAAGUGACGGUACCUGUAGAAGAAGCACCGGCCAACUACGUGCCAGCAGCCGCGGUAAUACGUAGGGUGCGAGCGUUGUCCGGAAUUACUGGGCGUAAAGAGCUUGUAGGCGGUUUGUCGCGUCGUCCGUGAAAACUUGGGGCUCAACCCCAAGCUUGCGGGCGAUACGGGCAGACUUGAGUACUGCAGGGGAGACUGGAAUUCCUGGUGUAGCGGUGAAAUGCGC